CAGGAUUCUCUUAGUAACUGCGAGUGAACAGAGAUUAGCCCAAUAUCGAAGCUCACAAGCUAAAUUGUUUGUUGAGCAAUGUGAUAUUAAGAUGUUUGCUAACGUAUAGUGGCCGACUUGAAGUCCAAAUUUGAAUGUGGCAUAUUCAGUAUGAACCCCAAAGAUGGUGAGAGUCCCGUUCAAGUUGGUAAUCAGAUGUGACAUUAUGCGUAUAUGCAUUCAUCUUGGAGUCGGAUUGCUUGAGAAUGCAGUCCAAAGUUGGUGGUAAACUCCAUCUAAGGCUAAAUACCUGUACGAGUCCGAUAGUUAACAAGUACCGUGAGGGAAAGUUGAAAAGUACUCUGAAGAGAGAGUAAACAGUACGUGAAACUACAAGGAGGUUAAUCAGAUAGAGUCAAGCUGCUU
This 405-nucleotide ribosomal RNA is filed under the name Capsaloides magnaspinosus. Its description in RNAcentral is "eukaryotic LSU rRNA". It matches the Rfam family "Eukaryotic large subunit ribosomal RNA", at positions 70 to 439 of the family's 3401-position model. Lineage: Eukaryota; Metazoa; Platyhelminthes; Monogenea; Capsalidea; Capsalidae. The record is from RNAcentral.